UACGGAGGUCUCAAGCGUUGUUCGGAUUCAUUGGGCGUAAAGGGUGCGUAGGUGGCGGGGUAAGUCUGGUGUGAAAUCUCGGGGCUCAACCCCGAAACUGCACUGGAUACUGCCUUGCUUGAGUACUGGAGAGGAGAUUGGAAUUUACGGUGUAGCAGUGAAAUGCGUAGAUAUCAAGAGGAACACUCGUGGCGAAAGCGAGCUACUGGACAAUUCCUGACGCUGAGGCUCGAAGGCUAGGGUAGCGAAAGGG
RNAcentral lists this ribosomal RNA (253 nucleotides) under uncultured bacterium. Its description in RNAcentral is "partial 16S ribosomal RNA". It matches the Rfam family "Bacterial small subunit ribosomal RNA", at positions 524 to 776 of the family's 1533-position model. The record is from RNAcentral.